RNAcentral lists this unclassified non-coding RNA (108 nucleotides) under uncultured fungus. RNAcentral describes it as "sequence contains ITS1". The record is from RNAcentral. Lineage: Eukaryota; Fungi.
CCGACAAGCCGUGGCGGUAUCCGCAGGAGUGAGAGGGUUCGCCCGUAUUUUCAGUUCAUACCAACGACGUCCCGCAAUAGACUUGUGACUCGAAAGGAACGAUCGCAU